CCUACGGGAGGCAGCAGUGAGGAAUAUUGGACAAUGGGCGAGAGUCUGAACCAGCCAAGCAGCGUGAAGGAUGACUGCCCUAUGGGUUGUAAACUUCUUUUAUAAAGGAAUAAAACGAGGCACGUGUGCCUUUUUGCAUGUACUUUAUGUAUCAGGAUCGGCUAACGCCGUGCCAGCAGCCGCGGUACUACGGAGGAUCCGAGCGUUAUCCGGAUUUAUUUGGUUUAAAGGGAGCGUAGAUGGGUUGUUAAGUUAGUUGUGAAAGUUUGCGGCUCAACCGUAAAAUGGCAAUGGAUACUGGCAGUCUUGAGUACAGUUGAGGUAGGCGGAAUUCGUGGUGUAGCGGUGAAAUGCGUAGAUAUCACGAAGAACACCGAUUGCGAAGGCAGCUUACUAAGCUGUGACUGACAUUGAUGCUCGAAAGUGUGGGUAGCAAACAGGAUUAGAUACCCGUGUAGUC
This 460-nucleotide ribosomal RNA is filed under the name uncultured bacterium. RNAcentral's name for it is "partial 16S ribosomal RNA". It matches the Rfam family "Bacterial small subunit ribosomal RNA", at positions 338 to 795 of the family's 1533-position model. The record is from RNAcentral.